This 45-nucleotide non-coding RNA is filed under the name Trichobilharzia regenti. Lineage: Eukaryota; Metazoa; Platyhelminthes; Trematoda; Strigeidida; Schistosomatidae. The record is from RNAcentral.
AUUCAGAUGACGAGUCCCAAAUAGGACGAAGUGUGCAUUUGGGAU